UUUUUUCCUCUCCCCCCCCCUUCCCCAAUUUUUAAAGCCUUUUUUCCUAUUUUUUCCUGCCUUUUUUCCCUUUUUUAAUGCCUUUUUUUUUUUGUUUUUUUUAACAUAUAUUUUUGUCCUGCAGUCCAAACCCAACGCGAAGGGAAAGGAGGGGAAGAGAAAUCAAAUGGGAAGAGAAUAGCUCCAAGUCGGCAGGACAAUGCACGGGAAACGGGGAGAUUAGCGUAGCUCUCGAAAUCCAUCACGCCCGCCCCGUUUCUGAACCGUUCGCCCCCGCGCUUCGUCUUUUUUAAUUCUCCCAGCUCCUGAAUUAUUCCAGUCCACGAGCGGGAGGGGAGCGCACAGUCCGGAGUCCCUCAGAGCUGCCAAGAGCAUUGCAACAGGAAAGAAAGGAAGCAGGAGAGGGAGAGCCAGGCAGAGCCCUCACAAUCGAGCAGCGAGAAGAGCAAGGAAAAAUUAACAUCCAAUUAGUGCCGUGUUUAACGAGGGAGACAGAGGCGGCUGUUGUUUUAUUGCCCUGUUCUUUUCAGGCGCAUCUGACAGGCAGCAGGGAAGGCACCCCUGCUCCGAGUGACGUCAUCAUAUUUUAUUUUUUAAUUAUUUCCCCCCCCUUCCCCUCCUCCCCCGUCUUUCUUCCUCUAAGUUUCGCACAGACCAUCUCGGCAACUCGGCCAGGGAAAUUCGGGACUUUCUCGCAUUCAAGGCACCAGCUCCCCCCCUCCACCUCCAGCCUCCCCCCUUCCACCGAUAGUAACCAUGAAAAAAACAACAGCGCCAACCCACCCCAAAGUCUUUGUUCUUCCAAAAAGAAAAGAAAAAAAAAGGAGGAAAGGAAAAAAAAAAAAAAUCAGCGUUGGGAUGAGAGCUGGAGGGAGGCUGGAGGAGAUUUCCCCGCGUGUGCGUCCGGGUGUGUGCGUGCGGCGCUCGGUCCCUCUCCCGUCCCUCUCCCCAGACGCUCGCUCGCCUUGUAAAACUUUGCUGCAUGUGACGCUGCUCCGGCCUCCUCUGGCAGCCUGACAAGAGCCGCCCGGCCGCAGAGCGCAGGCGGCUUUUCAGGGAGAAACUCCAUUCCGAGCCAUGGGAGCAUUGCCGUGUUUGCAGCGAGGGCCAGCGCCUCCAGCCAGGGCCGCAAUACCGACCCUGCCGGCCUGGGGUCACAGCAGGGGGACAGGGAACGAGUGUGAAGCUGGGGAGACGUUCCCCCUCCUGUUCCUCCCCUGGAAGGGGGGCCCAGCGCCGUGAAUUAUUUGCCUACGUGGAGCUCGGCGCUGCGGGAGAACAGAGCAAACAGCCUUAUCGAGGGCAGCUGUGCCACAGGGCACUUCCUCAUGCGUGGCUGCGAGAUGGGGCCCUCCAUGGCUGCGGGGGAGGGCUGGCAGCCCCUGGCCUUCCCACUGACCAGACACCAGGGAGACACCAGGCACCAUCCAGGCAUCGGGAGAGCUCUCUGGGAUGCUUCCCUCCCUGCUCCACGGCGGGAGAGAAGCACAGCCAGGAAGGGGUUUGGACUGAGCUGAAGGGUCAUCAGCAGGACGGCUCUGCAGGGGAAGGGGGAGGAUGGAACAGUCGCUCUGAGCUCAGCUGCACUUCCCUGGGCACAAAAGCUCAUCUCGCUGCUUCCCAGAUCCUGCCAGACUCGAGCAUCCAAGCCCAGUGGAGAGACAGACCAGCCUUGACCUGAGAUUCCCUCUCCUGGCUGCUGUCGCUACCUCCCUUCUCCCCCGGGCAGCUGGGAGCAGAUGAGGCCAAAGUCCCGGCAAUCUGAGUUUUCCACUGGAGGCUGAUAAACGGCGCGGGCACGGAACGGCAGCGAUCCCCACCCAGCCUGGCUUUGUGCAGGAGAGUCAAUAUUUAAACCAGAGCUUGUUUCCUGGGCAGACAGGGGAGUGCCAGUGGGAGAAACUCCCGGCUCCAUCCCGGGCGCCAGACCCAAACCUCCUCCUCCACCCCUUCAUUUGUUCUCCCGACCACAUGUUCCAUCCUGGAUCCCCUCUCCUAUGGGAAUGGGACCCCAUCCCCUUCAGCUGGGAUACCUGAGCACCAGCUGCAGGGCCAGGCACUGACUAAUGGGUAGCAAUUUAAGGGAAAAGGAUGCUCAGCCAGCGUUUUGGUUGUCUCAUUGCCUGCUCCUGGUGCAGACAUUUGUCCUUGUGGUGGGGCCCCCUCAAAUGAAGCACGGGACAAGAAGAAUCAGGGAUAGAAAUAGGAGGUGGGGAAAUACUCAAUCCCAAGAAUGGCAGACCCUUGCUUCAAAGUAAGGCAGUGCACUGAAAGCUCUGAAACCUGGUUUUCAUUUAAAUUGAGCAAAAACUACAGUCAACUGUUGGGUUUUCAGCCAAGUUUGUGGGCCCUGAUGAACUGGGCAGAAAUUACCAGCAGGAUGCAUCCACUGGUGCAGCUUUAGGUAAAUCCCUUAGGUAAAUUCCUUAGGUAAAUUCCUCAAAGGACAGGAAAUGGCACUUUUCCCUGCAGUGGCUGCAGUCAGGCUAUGUAGAGGCUGCAGGAGGUUUUACAGGCAUGUGAGCAGCAGAAGGUGGCUUUAAUUUGGAGGCUAAAGGUACAUGUUUCCUGAGCAGGUGCUAGGUGACCUGGCAGAUGCAAUGCCCUGUGUUGGAGCAAGUCAUAAAACAAGGUGAUAAAAGGCCAGAGGGGAGAGCUGUGAGGGGGAAGAUGGAAUGGCU
Long non-coding RNA from Cyanistes caeruleus (blue tit), 2681 nucleotides. The record is from Ensembl. NCBI's taxonomy places the organism in Eukaryota, Metazoa, Chordata, Aves, Passeriformes, Paridae.